RNAcentral lists this ribosomal RNA (406 nucleotides) under Archotermopsis wroughtoni. RNAcentral's name for it is "partial 12S ribosomal RNA". The record is from RNAcentral. Lineage: Eukaryota; Metazoa; Arthropoda; Insecta; Blattodea; Termopsidae.
CCCUAUUAUUUUUGAUGUUAAUUUUUUGGCCUGAGUAGUAUUAGUUAUGUUCUUGAAACUUAAAGAAUUUGGCGGUAUCUCAAUCCAUUCAGAGGAAUCUGCCCCGUUAUCGAUAAUCCGCGUUGGACCUUGCUUGGUUUUAUUGUUUGUAUACCGCCGUUAUAAUGAGAAUUCUUUUAGGGUUGUUAAUUUUUAUUUUUCUUUAUUUUGAUUUAUUUCAGGUCAAGGUGCAGCUUAUAUCUUAGUGGGAGGUGGAUUACAUUUGCAUUUAUUUUUGGAUUUUUGCUGUAAUUGUUUAUAUGAAAGUGGAUUUGAUUGUAAUUUGUUGUAGAUUGUUUAAAUGGUUUUGGUUCUGGGAUAUGUACACAUCGCCCGUCGCUCUCGUUGUUUUGAGGCGAGAUAAGUC